This is a long non-coding RNA of Leptinotarsa decemlineata (Colorado potato beetle), 856 nucleotides long. Lineage: Eukaryota; Metazoa; Arthropoda; Insecta; Coleoptera; Chrysomelidae. The record is from RefSeq and is a predicted model, not a curated record.
UGUAUUUUUCAGAUUCAGAUUUGAAUUCUAUGACUAUCAUUGUUGAAUAUAUUUUCAUUAAUUUUGGGAGUAGUCCAAUAAAUGAUUACGUAAUUUUUCUCAGAAAAGAGGCAAUAAGUAUUAUUUUAAUUGAUACCUAUUUUUAAAAAUAACCUUUUUUGUUGAAACCUGAAAUUUGAAAGCACACUAUGUCUCUUGUAACAAUAAUUUUACCCUUUCUCUCCACCACUGCCUAACCGUAAAUUUGGGUACCUUCCCUGACCUGUUAACGCGGCUGCAAUACAGUCGUUUCCAGCUGAUGCGGUUCCCGCCAAGUGUUGUUGAGUGAGUUACGGGACUUGAGCUUAUUAACGCUUUACUACUGGGGAUAAAUAUAUUAUUGUUCCGGACGAAAAUAUGUCGAUUUUCCUUUAAAUUUUCUCUAGUGUGUUUGUGUGUGAUUUAAAGUACAAGAUUUCGUCUGUGCUCCCCACUAUCGUGUAUUCCGAAACUAUACUGAAUGCUUACGCUGCCAUAAGAAAUACAAAUACAAGAAAAACUGCGUACAACAUAUUCGUUUGCAGUGUUUCAAGGAACCCCAGUUUGUAUGUAGUAUUUGUAACAGAAGUUACAAAUUCAAAAAGGAUUUGGUGCGACAUGUCACAGAAAAACAUUUACAUUUUGACAUUUAAUUUCAUAUGUGAAUGUGAUAUUUAAUAUUUUCUCUAAGGAGCUUAUUCGAAUGACCAGUUCAAAUUCCUAGAUGUUUUCAGUUACUUAAUAAUUAUACUUAAUCAUUGUUUUGUAAAAUAAUCUCUGGGGUAUAGAGAUAAUGUAUUGAAAGACUUGGAUAAUGAAUAAAAUGCUUUGAGUUGAA